GAUCAGGAGCUUGCUCCUGUGACGCGAGUGGCGGACGGGUGAGUAACACGUAGGCAACCUGCCCAUCAGACCGGGAUAACCACGGGAAACCGUGACUAAUACCGGAUAAUCCUUUUCCUCACAGGAGGGAAAGUUGAAAGGCGGUCUUUUGACUGCCACUGAUGGAUGGGCCUGCGGCGCAUUAGCUAGUUGGUGGGGUAAGGGCCCACCAAGGCGACGAUGCGUAGCCGACCUGAGAGGGUGAUCGGCCACACUGGGACUGAGACACGGCCCAGACUCCUACGGGAGGCAGCAGUAGGGAAUCUUCCGCAAUGGACGAAAGUCUGACGGAGCAACGCCGCGUGAGUGAAGAAGGGUUUCGGCUCGUAAAACUCUGUUGUCAGGGAAGAACGUCCCCGUGAGUAACUGCACGGGGAGUGACGGUACCUGACCAGAAAGCCACGGCUAACUACGUGCCAGCAGCCGCGGUAAUACGUAGGUGGCAAGCGUUAUCCGGAAUUAUUGGGCGUAAAGCGCGCGUAGGCGGUCUGUUAAGUCUGAUGUGAAAGCCCCCGGCUCAACCGGGGAGGGUCAUUGGAAACUGGCAGACUUGAGUGCAGAAGAGGAGAGUGGAAUUCCAUGUGUAGCGGUGAAAUGCGCAGAGAUAUGGAGGAACACCAGUGGCGAAGGCGGCUCUCUGGUCUGUAACUGACGCUGAGGUGCGAAAGCGUGGGGAUCAAACAGGAUUAGAUACCCUGGUAGUCCACGCCGUAAACGAUGAGUGCUAAGUGUUAGGGGGUUUCCGCCCCUUAGUGCUGCAGCUAACGCAUUAAGCACUCCGCCUGGGGA
RNAcentral lists this ribosomal RNA (828 nucleotides) under Salinicoccus hispanicus. Its description in RNAcentral is "bacterial SSU rRNA". It matches the Rfam family "Bacterial small subunit ribosomal RNA", at positions 70 to 879 of the family's 1533-position model. Lineage: Bacteria; Bacillati; Bacillota; Bacilli; Caryophanales; Staphylococcaceae. The record is from RNAcentral.